This is a long non-coding RNA of Neofelis nebulosa (Clouded leopard), 3456 nucleotides long. RefSeq lists it as uncharacterized. NCBI's taxonomy places the organism in Eukaryota, Metazoa, Chordata, Mammalia, Carnivora, Felidae. The transcript is spliced from 5 exons. The record is from RefSeq and is a predicted model, not a curated record.
UUUUUGACUAAGGAUUUGAUUUAUUUUGGACAUAAAGUAAACACAUUUUCCUAUUCAGGGAUGUCAGUUCUUAUAUAUGGAUGAAUUACUCUAUAUCCUGACUUACUUUUUGCCUUCAAGAUGUGCUCCAAAAGAGGUACAGUAAGAAGCCCACUAUUUGCAUUUCUGAUAGUUUUUGACUUCCAUGUCUAGCAUCCAUGUUAUAUGCAGUUUGAAACACUUCAAGCAAAUAAUUUACAGAAACAAGGCCAUGACUUUAUUAUAAUCCAAGAUGCCUGGCAGAAACAAAUGCAUAUUUCUGGGCUAACGUGCCUCUAACCCAGGCCUCAAGGACUCCACAUCUAUAAAUCCAAGGAACUUGAGCUCAAGGAAACAAAGCAUCGUGAAUAAAAGCAGGAACCAAGACUACUGGACCCAAAAGGCAGAGUCAGCUGUUCUCACACGGAUGAAAGCUAUGACUGAAGAGAGAGGAAAUCAUGGAAAACUUACAGACUAGUCCGCAAGUUUACAAAGGGAGAAGUUGAAGCUAAGGAUGCGACAGAGGCUAACCCUGGAUGACUUAAAAAGGAAGAGAAGAGUACUUGAAUUCAGAGCCCUGAUGGAAGACUGGAGAAGAGGUUGAGACAAGUUCAGGAGCCAAGGGAGCGGGCUUUUCGUGUGACUGCAUGCAUGGUGAAUCUCCAGGAGGGAUUAUAGGACCCCCCCUCCCCCUUCAUCAUCCGAUUGCGACAAGGUAAAAGCACGGAAUCCAACAACCAAACAGCCAGUGACCUUGAAGCCAUAGGCAGCAUAGGAAACCGCUCCUAUCUGUAUUCAUCGAUGACGCCUAAACUUUAGGUCGGAGUCAUAUUUAAUUUGAAAAGAUUGGGAAGCUGAAGACCAUAUCUUCACGUGCAAAUCCCAGCCUUAGCUCUCUGGCCAAUAGAGGUAAAUACAAGUCACAUGCUUGACUGAAAUCAGCACUGAAGUUGAGCUUUCUAAAAAGUUUCAUUAUUUAAUGUUUCUUUUUUCAAGCUUCCGUACUUAUGACUUUCUUGUUAUCCUUCAACAUUUGUAAAAUACAAAGCUAAUACCAUGAGAUAGAGACAUUCAUUGAAAUAAAAAUCUUUUUGGGGUCUACCGUGUGAAAGGCCUGUGCUAGAUAUAAGGGGUAAACUCAUGAGUUAGACAUAUUUCCUGCCUUUAAGAGCUUUUACCUAGACUGUGAAUUGGUUUAUUUAUUUAAAAGACUUUUUUUCAGGCCGACUAUGAUCUAGGCACUGUGCUAGGAGCUCAGAUAAAGCUGUGAAGCUGUGAACAAGAAAAUAAAAGUUUCUAUUCUUUGGCACAUAGAUGCAGUGGGGGAGCCUGAUAUUAAAUCACACAGCACAUAUUUAUUCAUUGAAUCAUUCUUGCGAUCAGAGCCACAAAGGCUUAGACCAGCAUAAGCCUGUGAGGAUAUGAUGGAACGCGUUCUCUCGGGAAGUGGCCUGUGAGCUGUGCUCUGAAGGAUGAACAGGAAUAAACAUUAUGGAGAUAUGGUUGGAGGGAGCGAGAAGAGAAAUAAGAGUUUUAGGACAGGAGAGAGUUUUGCUGGUACCAGAGGAAGGGUGGCCUGACCAAGCAGGGCCUUGGAGACCGUGGGAAAGUUUCAGUCUUCAUGCUAAAUGCAAUGGGAAGACAUGGGGCAGAUUUCCUCAGGGAAGGAAUGUAAUCAGACAUGCACUCUAGAAAGGUUACUCUGGCCAUGCAUAUUGAAUGGCUUGCAAGGGCAGUAAUGGAGGCAGAAAUACCAGCUAGAAGGUUGGUCUAGUAAUUCAAGGGGAAAAUGCUGGUAGGUUCAACUAGGGUAGGUGUGGGAGAAUGAUGCUGAGAGGUGUAUAGAUACAAGAGAUAUAAAUGAGUCCCAAACAACAGAACUUGAUGCUUAAUUGGAUGUGGGAGUUAUUUAGGAGAAAGUCAGGUAAAUUGCCAAAUGCAAUAUGGUAUGCUAAAUGCUCUAAAAGACUAUAGAGGCAUCUGGCCUGUUGCUGGGUAUAAGCAAAUGUAUAUGCAGAAAACCCCACAAAGGACCUCAAGUCAUAUAUAAUGUAUCUGAAGAGGCUAGAUGUAAAUGCUGAAAAGUUAGCUCAUAAUCAAGGCACUAAAUGCCAGUCAUCACAGGUGUGAUACAGGCACUAUGGUUUGUUGGUGUUCCCAGGUCAGUUGUGGAUAGAGGUAGCCAGGGAAAGCUUCAUGCAAUAGACGGAAUGAGCUGGGCUUGGGCAAAGAAAGAAAGAACAAUCCUGGUGGAGAGAACACACAGAAGAGGGGGAGGAGGAAGUAAGGAUAGACAUAACAUAUUUAGAGAGUACCAAAUAGACCAGUUGUAUCAAAAUGGGAGAUUUGGGGGGAAAGAAAAAUUUGGAAAAGAUAAAAUUGGAAGUAUAGGUUAGGGGAAGCAAGGGGUUGCAGAAUUAUAUGCAAAAUUCAUAAAUACUGAUUCACACCUGGAUUGUCAUGAGUAAGCUGUAAAUCUCCGGCACUAGGAAGAGCUCAAGUUCUCGGUCUCCUUGUACCUUUUCUACAAUGAAAUCUCCGUUCCCCUGCCCCGCCCCAGCUUUAUUGAGAUGUGAUUGACAUACAGCAUCGUGCGACUUGAAUGGGCAAAACAUGUUGAUCUGAUGCUGGAUCAACUGGAACUGGCUAGCCAACACCCUCAUCAGGUCACAUAACUAAUGUUUCUUUUUUGCAGUGAGAACAUUUAAAAUUCACUCUCUUAGCAACUUUCAGAUGUAUACUACCCAUUGAGUAUUCUUGGCUCCCCUGUCAAAUAUUACUUGACUAUACAUGCAAGGAUUUAUUUCUGGGCUCUUGAUUUUGUUCGAUCCAUCUAUGUGUUUAUUUUUAUGCCACUAUUAUACUGUUUUGAUUACUAUAGAUGUGUUGUUGAAUUCAGUUUGCUUAUAUUUUGUCGAGAAUUUUUGUAUCUAUUCAUCAGGGAUAUUGGCCUUAAGUUUCUUUUUCCUUGUGGUGUUCUUGUCUGGCUUUGGUUUUACAGUAAUGCUAUAAAAUGAGUUUGGGAGUGUUCCCUCCUCUUCAAUUUUUUGGAAGAUUUUGAGAUGAAUUGGUUUUAAUUCUUCCUUAAAAGUUUGAUAGAAUUCACCAGUGAAACCAUCUAGUCCUGGGCUUUUCUUUAUUGGGAGGUUUUUGAUUAUUGAUGAUUGAAUCUCUUUAUUCAUUAUUGGUUCAUUCAGAUUUUUAAAGAUUUCAUCCUGAUUCAGUCUUGGUAGGUUGUAUAUUUCCAGUAAUUCACCCAUUUCUUCUAGGUUGUCCAAUUUGUAGGUGUACGAUUGUUCACAAUAGUCUCAUGGUCCUUUGUAUUUCUGUGGGAUCAGUUAUAAUGUCUGCUUGUCAUUUCUGAUUAUAUUUAUUUACAUCCUCUUUCUUUUUUUCUUAGUCUAGCUAAAGGUUUGUUAGUUUUGCUUAUCUUUUUUU